This 495-nucleotide ribosomal RNA is filed under the name uncultured bacterium. RNAcentral describes it as "partial 16S ribosomal RNA". It matches the Rfam family "Bacterial small subunit ribosomal RNA", at positions 28 to 523 of the family's 1533-position model. The record is from RNAcentral.
GAUGAACGCUAGCGGGAGGCCUAACACAUGCAAGCCGAGCGGUAUUGUUUCUUCGGAAAUGAGAGAGCGGCGUACGGGUGCGUAACACGUGUGCAACCUGCCUUUAUCUGGGGGAUAGCCUUUCGAAAGGAAGAUUAAUACUCCAUAAUACAUUGAACGGCAUCGUUUAAUAUUUAAAGCUCCGGCGGAUAGAGAUGGGCACGCGCAAGAUUAGCUAGUUGGUGAGGUAACGGCUCACCAAGGCGAUGAUCUUUAGGGGGCCUGAGAGGGUGAGCCCCCACACUGGUACUGAGACACGGACCAGACUCCCACGGGAUGCAGCAGUGAGGAAUAUUGGUCAAUGGGUGCAAGCCUGAACCAGCCAUCCCGCGUGAAGGACGACUGCCCUAUGGGUUGUAAACUUCUUUUGUAUAGGGAUAAACCUACCCUCGUGAGGGUAGCUGAAGGUACUAUACGAAUAAGCACCGGCUAACUCCGUGCCAGCCGCCGCCGUAA